Molecule: long non-coding RNA, 640 nt
Filed under: Eucalyptus grandis
Lineage: Eukaryota; Viridiplantae; Streptophyta; Magnoliopsida; Myrtales; Myrtaceae
Description: long non-coding RNA (EGRA_LNC000595)
Source: RNAcentral
ACAGGUGCAGGGAUUGAGUCAUAAGGUGCACCAUUUAAAUCUCUUACUAGUUAUUCUUCUUGCUUAUCUGUUUUUGUUAUUAUAUUAGGACUCAUUGUUCAGAAAAAGUAGAUGGUUGGAACUUAUAAUUUCGCUAGGCUUGAAUCAAAUAUUAUGUUGUGCUGGUUUUAUUGGACACAAUCGCAUUAUCUAAGUGCAUAACUUUUCUCAUCUCACCUCCAUUCUAAUUCUAAUGGCGAAGCGCAGGUAAUUUAUUAAACUAGCUGACCAAAGGAAGCUCGUCAUUGCAGGAAGAGCAGGUGCUGCAAACUGAGAGUAAAUGGCAGGAGAGGAUAAUGGCAUAGGAAACAAUCUGUCCUCCAGAAGUCCUACGACCAAGCAUGGAUUGCGCAUUAUAAAGAGCGAGACUAUGUAGUCACCAAAAUAUUCACUCUGAAUUCUCUAAUAUGUAUUCUUACUGCGCCGUCAGGAGAAAAUCAGGAUAUUUAACUGAGUAUGGUUUCAUGAUGAUUUCUCCAUCAGCUGUGUCGGGGUCGAUAUGUUUGAUUUGCAGGUCUCCACAGUGCAUCUAUCAAUGACCAUUUCCUCCGGCAUGAACUUCUCCAAGUGAGAACGUGAUAUCCAGCUCACACUGCAUUUA